AUUCCAGCUCCAAUAGCGUAUAUUAAAGUUGUUGCAGUUAAAAAGCUCGUAGUUGGAUUUCUGGCGGAAGCGGUCGGUCCUGCCCCUCACGGGGUUGCGUACUAGAGUCGCAUUCGGCCAUCCUUGUGGAGAACGUCUCUGGCAUUAGGUUGUCGGAUUCGGGAUCUGCAUCGUUUACUGUGAAAAAAUUAGAGUGUUUAAAGCAGGCUCUUGCUCUGAAUACAUUAGCAUGGAAUAAUAAGAUAGGACUUUGGUGCUAUUUUGUUGGUUUGCGCUCUAAGGUAAUGAUUAAUAGGGAUAGUUGGGGGUAUUCAUAUUUAAUUGCCAGAGGUGAAAUUCUUGGAUCAUCGCAAGACGAACAACUGCGAAAGCAUUUGCCAAGCAUGUUUUCAUCA
RNAcentral lists this ribosomal RNA (395 nucleotides) under Stramenopiles sp. MAST. Its description in RNAcentral is "partial small subunit ribosomal RNA". It matches the Rfam family "Eukaryotic small subunit ribosomal RNA", at positions 582 to 975 of the family's 1831-position model. The record is from RNAcentral.